UGAACUUAAGCAUAUCAAUAAGCGGAGGAAAAGAAACCAACAGGGAUUGCCUCAGUAACGGCGAGUGAAGCGGCAACAGCUCAAAUUUGAAAUCUGGCGUCUUCGGCGUCCGAGUUGUAAUUUGCAGAGGAUGCUUCUGGGCAGCCACCGGUCUAAGUGCCUUGGAACAGGCCGUCAUAGAGGGUGAGAAUCCCGUAUGUGACCGGAAGGGCACCCUCCACGUAGCUCCUUCGAAGAGUCGAGUUGUUUGGGAAUGCAGCUCAAAAUGGGAGGUAAAUUUCUUCUAAAGCUAAAUACCGGCCAGAGACCGAUAGCGCACAAGUAGAGUGAUCGAAAGAUGAAAAGCACUUUGGAAAGAGAGUUAAAAAGCACGUGAAAUUGUUGAAAGGGAAGCGCUUGCAACCAGACUUGCCUGCGGUGUUCCGCCGGUCUUCUGACCGGUCUAUUCGCCGCCUGCAGGCCAGCAUCGUUUGGGGCCGCCGGAUAAAAGCGUCGGGAAUGUGGCUCCCCUCGGGGAGUGUUAUAGCCCGGCGUGCAAUACGGCGCGUCUCGAGCGAGGUCCGCGCUUCGGCUAGGAUGCUGGCGUAAUGGUUGUAAGCGGCCCGUCUUGAAACACGGACCAAGGAGUCUAACAUCUAUGCGAGUGUUCGGGUGUCAAACCCCUACGCGUAAUGAAAGUGAACGGAGGUGGGAACUUUUUGUGCACCAUCGACCGAUCCUGAUGUCUUCGGAUGGAUUUGAGUAAGAGCAUAGCUGUUGGGACCCGAAAGAUGGUGAACUAUGCCUGAAUAGGGUGAAGCCAGAGGAAACUCUGGUGGAGGCUCGCAGCGGUUCCCACGGCAAACCCCUCGCC
RNAcentral lists this ribosomal RNA (853 nucleotides) under Microxiphium purpuraefaciens. Its description in RNAcentral is "LSU rRNA". It matches the Rfam family "Eukaryotic large subunit ribosomal RNA", at positions 29 to 906 of the family's 3401-position model. The record is from RNAcentral. Lineage: Eukaryota; Fungi; Ascomycota; Eurotiomycetes; Chaetothyriales; Coccodiniaceae.